UACGGAGGGUGCAAACGUUGCUCGGAAUCAUUGGGCGUAAAGCGCACGUAGGUGACCUGUUAAGUCGGGUGUGAAAUCCCUGGGCUCAACCCAGGAAGUGCACUCGAAACUGGCAGGCUUGAGUACUGAAGAGGGUCGCGGAAUUCCCGGUGUAGAGGUGAAAUUCGUAGAUAUCGGGAGGAACACCAGUGGCGAAGGCGGCGACCUGGGCAGAUACUGACACUGAGGUGCGAAAGCGUGGGGAGCAAACAGG
This 253-nucleotide ribosomal RNA is filed under the name uncultured bacterium. RNAcentral's name for it is "partial 16S ribosomal RNA". It matches the Rfam family "Bacterial small subunit ribosomal RNA", at positions 524 to 776 of the family's 1533-position model. The record is from RNAcentral.